RNAcentral lists this unclassified non-coding RNA (22 nucleotides) under Mus musculus (house mouse). Its description in RNAcentral is "oocyte_clustered_small_RNA6066". The record is from RNAcentral. Lineage: Eukaryota; Metazoa; Chordata; Mammalia; Rodentia; Muridae.
UUUACUGGUUUGCCUCCCAUGG